RNAcentral lists this ribosomal RNA (373 nucleotides) under uncultured bacterium. RNAcentral describes it as "bacterial SSU rRNA". It matches the Rfam family "Bacterial small subunit ribosomal RNA", at positions 525 to 896 of the family's 1533-position model. The record is from RNAcentral.
ACGUAGGUGGCAAGCGUUGUCCGGAUUUACUGGGCGUAAAGCGCGCGCAGGCGGGUUGGUCAGUCCGGGGUGAAAUCUCACGGCUCAACUGUGAGAGGUCCCUGGAUACUGCCAGUCUUGAGGGGCUCAGAGGAGUGUGGAAUUCCGGGUGUAGUGGUGGAAUGCGUAGAUAUCCGGAGGAACACCAGUGGCGAAAGCGGCACUCUGGGGGCAACCUGACGCUGAGGCGCGAAAGCGUGGGGAGCGAACCGGAUUAGAUACCCGGGUAGUCCACGCCGUAAACGAUGAGUACUAGUUGUCGGGGGUAUCGACCCCCUCGGUAACGAAGCUAACGCGAUAAGUACUCCGCCUGGGGACUACGACCGCAAGGUUA